RNAcentral lists this transfer RNA (69 nucleotides) under Ictidomys tridecemlineatus (thirteen-lined ground squirrel). RNAcentral describes it as "Spermophilus tridecemlineatus (thirteen-lined ground squirrel) tRNA". It matches the Rfam family "tRNA". Rfam says of the family: Transfer RNA (tRNA) molecules are approximately 80 nucleotides in length. Their secondary structure includes four short double-helical elements and three loops (D, anti-codon, and T loops). Lineage: Eukaryota; Metazoa; Chordata; Mammalia; Rodentia; Sciuridae. The record is from Rfam by way of RNAcentral.
GGGGUUGUGUCUCAGUGGUAGAGUGCUUGCUUAACAAGUGUGAGGCACUGGGUUUAAUUCCCAGCACCA